UUUUAUGGAGAGUUUGAUCCUGGCUCAGGAUGAACGCUGGCGGCGUGCCUAAUACAUGCAAGUCGAGCGAACGGACGAGAAGCUUGCUUCUCUGAUGUUAGCGGCGGACGGGUGAGUAACACGUGGAUAACCUACCUAUAAGACUGGGAUAACUUCGGGAAACCGGAGCUAAUACCGGAUAAUAUUUUGAACCGCAUGGUUCAAAAGUGAAAGACGGUCUUGCUGUCACUUAUAGAUGGAUCCGCGCUGCAUUAGCUAGUUGGUAAGGUAACGGCUUACCAAGGCAACGAUGCAUAGCCGACCUGAGAGGGUGAUCGGCCACACUGGAACUGAGACACGGUCCAGACUCCUACGGGAGGCAGCAGUAGGGAAUCUUCCGCAAUGGGCGAAAGCCUGACGGAGCAACGCCGCGUGAGUGAUGAAGGUCUUCGGAUCGUAAAACUCUGUUAUUAGGGAAGAACAUAUGUGUAAGUAACUGUGCACAUCUUGACGGUACCUAAUCAGAAAGCCACGGCUAACUACGUGCCAGCAGCCGCGGUAAUACGUAGGUGGCAAGCGUUAUCCGGAAUUAUUGGGCGUAAAGCGCGCGUAGGCGGUUUUUUAAGUCUGAUGUGAAAGCCCRCGGCUCAACCGUGGAGGGUCAUUGGAAACUGGAAAACUUGAGUGCAGAAGAGGAAAGUGGAAUUCCAUGUGUAGCGGUGAAAUGCGCAGAGAUAU
RNAcentral lists this ribosomal RNA (717 nucleotides) under Staphylococcus aureus. Its description in RNAcentral is "bacterial SSU rRNA". It matches the Rfam family "Bacterial small subunit ribosomal RNA", at positions 1 to 699 of the family's 1533-position model. Lineage: Bacteria; Bacillati; Bacillota; Bacilli; Caryophanales; Staphylococcaceae. The record is from RNAcentral.